GGGGCACUGGGCGGGGUGCUAUACAUGCAAGUCGAACGAACUCUGGUAUUGAUUGGUGCUUGCAUCAUGAUUUACAUUUGAGUGAGUGGCGAACUGGUGAGUAACACGUGGGAAACCUGCCCAGAAGCGGGGGAUAACACCUGGAAACAGAUGCUAAUACCGCAUAACAACUUGGACCGCAUGGUCCGAGUUUGAAAGAUGGCUUCGGCUAUCACUUUUGGAUGGUCCCGCGGCGUAUUAGCUAGAUGGUGGGGUAACGGCUCACCAUGGCAAUGAUACGUAGCCGACCUGAGAGGGUAAUCGGCCACAUUGGGACUGAGACACGGCCCAAACUCCUACGGGAGGCAGCAGUAGGGAAUCUUCCACAAUGGACGAAAGUCUGAUGGAGCAACGCCGCGUGAGUGAAGAAGGGUUUCGGCUCGUAAAACUCUGUUGUUAAAGAAGAACAUAUCUGAGAGUAACUGUUCAGGUAUUGACGGUAUUUAACCAGAAAGCCACGGCUAACUACGUGCCAGCAGCCGCGGUAAUACGUAGGUGGCAAGCGUUGUCCGGAUUUAUUGGGCGUAAAGCGAGCGCAGGCGGUUUUUUAAGUCUGAUGUGAAAGCCUUCGGCUCAACCGAAGAAGUGCAUCGGAAACUGGGAAACUUGAGUGCAGAAGAGGACAGUGGAACUCCAUGUGUAGCGGUGAAAUGCGUAGAUAUAUGGAAGAACACCAGUGGCGAAGGCGGCUGUCUGGUCUGUAACUGACGCUGAGGCUCGAAAGUAUGGGUAGCAAACAGGAUUAGAUACCCUGGUAGUCCAUACCGUAAACGAUGAAUGCUAAGUGUUGGAGGGUUUCCGCCCUUCAGUGCUGCAGCUAACGCAUUAAGCAUUCCGCCUGGGGAGUACGGCCGCAAGGCUGAAACUCAAAGGAAUUGACGGGGGCCCGCACAAGCGGUGGAGCAUGUGGUUUAAUUCGAAGCUACGCGAAGAACCUUACCAGGUCUUGACAUACUAUGCAAAUCUAAGAGAUUAGACGUUCCCUUCGGGGACAUGGAUACAGGUGGUGCAUGGUUGUCGUCAGCUCGUGUCGUGAGAUGUUGGGUUAAGUCCCGCAACGAGCGCAACCCUUAUUAUCAGUUGCCAGCAUUAAGUUGGGCACUCUGGUGAGACUGCCGGUGACAAACCGGAGGAAGGUGGGGAUGACGUCAAAUCAUCAUGCCCCUUAUGACCUGGGCUACACACGUGCUACAAUGGAUGGUACAACGAGUUGCGAACUCGCGAGAGUAAGCUAAUCUCUUAAAGCCAUUCUCAGUUCGGAUUGUAGGCUGCAACUCGCCUACAUGAAGUCGGAAUCGCUAGUAAUCGCGGAUCAGCAUGCCGCGGUGAAUACGUUCCCGGGCCUUGUACACACCGCCCGUCACACCAUGAGAGUUUGUAACACCCAAAGUCGGUGGGGUAACCUUUUAGGAACCAGCCGCCUAAGGUGACAGAUUGGG
This 1478-nucleotide ribosomal RNA is filed under the name Lactiplantibacillus plantarum. Its description in RNAcentral is "bacterial SSU rRNA". It matches the Rfam family "Bacterial small subunit ribosomal RNA". The record is from RNAcentral. Lineage: Bacteria; Bacillati; Bacillota; Bacilli; Lactobacillales; Lactobacillaceae.